Molecule: long non-coding RNA, 598 nt
Organism: Mesocricetus auratus (golden hamster)
Lineage: Eukaryota; Metazoa; Chordata; Mammalia; Rodentia; Cricetidae
Exons: 4
Source: RefSeq, a predicted model, not a curated record
CGGACGCAGGAGACGAGGAACUCGGGGUCGCGGGGGGAAGGAAGCGACGGGAGGAGCAGGGAAGAGCCGCGCCGAUGCACAGCCGCGGAGGGAGGCUGGUCCCCUCAACAAUCGCCAAGAAUCCUCCUCCGGUCCUUGCUUUGGGAAACUCCGUCCUGCUGAUCCUAUGGGCUCCUCCAGAGCUAGCAAAGCAUCUCCUUCCAUGACUACCCAGUUUCUGCUAUUGUUUCGUGGUCUCUCGGAAUGGCAUUAAAGAAAACAGAAGUGCAUCUUGACCCAUUUGCCUGUUCUCUGGAAAGUCAGAAGUCAGAGCAAAAGGGCUGUGUGGGAGCUAGAGAGAAGAGCACAUGAAUACCUGCCAACUGUUUGUUAACAAAUCACCCAGAAGCUUCACUAUUAAAACUUUACUAGAACAAUUAUUGUGUUAAUUGCUGGAUAGACUCCAUUAAAUGGAAAUCAUUAUAAGUCUCUUCCUGUUUGGAAGCUGAUAUUAGUAUCUAUGACUGUGUUGUCCAGGCCUAAAGUGAGGUGACCAAGGGUGAUGGCUCAUAUCUGAAUCCUAGGACUCAGGAAGCUUAGGCAGGAGGAUGACAGAGUG